This 1030-nucleotide long non-coding RNA is filed under the name Homo sapiens (human). RNAcentral describes it as "HSALNT0104982". Lineage: Eukaryota; Metazoa; Chordata; Mammalia; Primates; Hominidae. The record is from RNAcentral.
AGUUAGUGCCUGGACCAGGACCAUCACACUGGGGACCGGCUUCUCUGCUCUCCCGUUAUGGGGGUCGGGGGAAUGAUGGGUCAAGGGUCUUCCGAAGAAAGCGAGAAAGGAACAGGCGCCUUCAAAAGCCCACUUGGCGAUGGGUUACAGUAAGAGGUACCUCCAGGCCCGGGCAUCCGCUGGAAACAGGGGUGGGUAGGGUCGUGUCAUCUAAAGGCGCAGCUUCAACCAGAAGACUAGAAGUCAGCCAGGAGCUGGGAGUAGUGUCACGCGGGGUGGGGGUUCCUAUGAGCAUCACUUUACAAAACCAGGAGGGACGGAAGUGCGAGGGGGCAGAGUCUUGGAAACAGGUCCUGGGCCAACUGCAACAGAAUAUACCCGCCGCGUGUAGGGGAAGGCGGCGCCAGGGAGAGGGCGCAGUCUCUGAAUCUUUCCACGGGGUCCAUCCUAGGGCCCCUCCAGGUUCAACGGUCUCCUAACCUGUAGUCACCCACAAGAGCGUGCCCUUUCUGCCCGCCCUUCCUAGCGUUGCUCCCUGCUUGGCUGAGCACUGCGGAGUUUCACGCCUCUAAACCCCGCCUCUUCUUGCAACCUGUGUUGGCCUCAUCUACCCAGCAACUGUCGACGUCACACGACCUGGGCCUCCCUGAAUGGGAGAUAUUUACUAGGCAAUCCCGCCUACUGUUCUGAGGUUUCCCCUCCAGGUGCAGCUUCAGAGCCAGGCGAGCCAGGAAGGACCAGCGGGCGAGGUGGAAGUCUGCAUUAUCACGAGGAGCUUGGAAAGGAGGUAACACACUCAAGGCAAAUUUCAAGUAACUCAUCCUGGAGGCAGCUGCCUACUCUGCAGCUGUGGUUCUCCACCACAGAGAGAAGAAAAGGGAGGGAGAUGGAGUGCGCAGGUCUGAGAAGGCUUUCAUUCUGGAGCAUCUGCAGGAGCCUGCACCAUGGCCCAGUAGCACCCCUUUUUCUCCAUGAGCUGCUGGUGGGUUCCCCCCUCCCGGAUAGCGCCUCCUUCCAGAAAGAGGAUGUG